UCAGUGCUGUUCUCAUAAUAGUGAAUAAGUCUCACAAUUUCUGAUGGCUUUAUAAAGCGGAGUUCCCCAGCACAUGAGCUCUCUUGCCUGCCUACAUGUAAGACAUCACUUUGCUCCUCGUUGCCUUCCUCCAUGAUUGUGAGGCCUCCCCAGCCAUGUGGAACUGUGGCAGAAACCGUGAUUGUAUUUUUUUUUCUUUUUAUGUGCCCUGUUAAGCCUUGGAAAACAAAGAUAAAAUCUGAGCUUCCUGCAAGUUUUACCUACUCAGCCACUUACUUUCCAGGAUCCUUCAUCAUGAAAGCAAUUGUAUGGGGUAAGAGAUUGGAGUUAGUGCAGGAAACAAGAAAAGAUAAAACUAGAGCCUCACCAAGGGAACAGCCCCAGACCAGGUAUAUUGGGGGCAAGAGGAAGGCGUUAAAGAUGAAAUGGAGUUUAAAGACAAACAAGUUUUAGGUGCACAGUGACCAUGCAAUGCUCCAAAGCCAGGUAUACAAGAUGCAUGGCAGUGGUGGUUGGAGAAAAUUGCCAUGGGAUUGGCACAUGGAUUGGCACUGAGCACAGGGAUAUGAAACUUCAUGCUCAUGAUUGCAAUUCAGGAAGCCAAAGGGCAAAGGAAGUAUUGUAUGGGGUUUGUGAUCUAAGUAUUAAGAAACCAAAAUGCAAAUACUAAUAAACAUGGAACCAAAAAGACUUUAUGUAUGGAGCAGUGCAAAGCUGGUACAAGAGCUGUGAAUCCUCAAGAAUGCAACCUCUACUGUGGGAGAAAUUGAGGCCCUACAAGGUUAGAUGACUUGCUCAGGAUCAACAAUUGUUAAAUGUCAGAGCAGGGAUUCAGAACCAGGACAUAUGACUCCAAGUCUAAUAUUCAUUCCACCAUGUAUCACCGUGGCCUUUUCCUGUCUUGAGCCUACAUUAGAAUUGAAGUCUCAAAC
This 932-nucleotide long non-coding RNA is filed under the name Homo sapiens (human). RNAcentral describes it as "HSALNT0307973". Lineage: Eukaryota; Metazoa; Chordata; Mammalia; Primates; Hominidae. The record is from RNAcentral.